AUACUUACCUGGCAGGGGAGAUACCUUGAUCAUGGUGGUGGUUUUUUCCAGGGUGAGACUUGUCCAUUGCACUCCAAGUAUGUCAACCCCUGCAAUUUCCCCAAAUGCAGGAAACUCGACUGCAUAAUUUGUAGUACUGGGGGACUACAUUAGUGCUUUCUCAGG
Small nuclear RNA from Hemicordylus capensis (graceful crag lizard), 165 nucleotides. RefSeq annotates it as U1 spliceosomal RNA. NCBI's taxonomy places the organism in Eukaryota, Metazoa, Chordata, Lepidosauria, Squamata, Cordylidae. The record is from RefSeq and is a predicted model, not a curated record. The transcript has a single exon.